CCUACGGGGGGCUGCAGUGGGGAAUAUUGCACAAUGGGCGCAAGCCUGAUGCAGCCAUGCCGCGUGUGUGAAGAAGGCCUUCGGGUUGUAAAGCACUUUCAGCGGGGAGGAAGGCGUUAAGGUUAAUAACCUUGUCGAUUGACGUUACCCGCAGAAGAAGCACCGGCUAACUCCGUGCCAGCAGCCGCGGUAAUACGGAGGGUGCAAGCGUUAAUCGGAAUUACUGGGCGUAAAGCGCACGCAGGCGGUCUGUCAAGUCGGAUGUGAAAUCCCCGGGCUCAACCUGGGAACUGCAUUCGAAACUGGCAGGCUAGAGUCUUGUAGAGGGGGGUAGAAUUCCAGGUGUAGCGGUGAAAUGCGUAGAGAUCGGGAGGAAUACCGGUGGCGAAGGCGGCCCCCUGGACAAAGACUGACGCUCAGGUGCGAAAGCGUGGGGAGCAAACAGGAUUAGAUACCCGAGUAGUC
This 465-nucleotide ribosomal RNA is filed under the name uncultured Klebsiella sp. RNAcentral's name for it is "bacterial SSU rRNA". It matches the Rfam family "Bacterial small subunit ribosomal RNA", at positions 338 to 795 of the family's 1533-position model. The record is from RNAcentral. Lineage: Bacteria; Pseudomonadati; Pseudomonadota; Gammaproteobacteria; Enterobacterales; Enterobacteriaceae.